Ornithorhynchus anatinus (platypus) is the source of this 73-nucleotide non-coding RNA. Lineage: Eukaryota; Metazoa; Chordata; Mammalia; Monotremata; Ornithorhynchidae. The record is from Rfam.
AGCAGUGUGGCCUAAUGGAUAGAGCACAGGCCUGGGAGUCAGAAGGACCUGGGUUCUAAUCCCAGCUCUGCCA